AUAAUCAUAUUAGAAGGGAUGAUGGGUGGCCGAUGAAGAACUAAUCUUAUUUCAAACAUUUGAGAAUUAUUUUUCAAAUUAAAAAAUAGGAUUAGUCUGCCCAUUUUCCAUAUAAUUUUUUUAAGCUAUUCAUUAAAUAGCUUAUUUUCGUUAUGAAAAAUGCAACUAAUCCUUCCAAAUUCAUUUGGGAGGAUUUUUUU
Molecule: small RNA, 200 nt
Filed under: Bacillus sp. CECT 9360
Lineage: Bacteria; Bacillati; Bacillota; Bacilli; Caryophanales; Bacillaceae
Description: ncr1575
Rfam family: Bacillus sRNA ncr1575
Source: RNAcentral